Molecule: ribosomal RNA, 253 nt
Filed under: uncultured bacterium
Lineage: Bacteria
Description: partial 16S ribosomal RNA
Rfam family: Bacterial small subunit ribosomal RNA
Source: RNAcentral
UACGUAGGCAGCAAGCGUUGUUCGGAAUUACUGGGCGUAAAGAGUGUGUAGGCGGUGCUCUAAGUUCGGUGUGAAAUCUCCCGGCUUAACUGGGAGGGUGCGCCGGAAACUGGAGUGCUCGAGCGUGGGAGAGGAAAGCGGAAUUCCUGGUGUAGCGGUGAAAUGCGUAGAUAUCAGGAGGAACACCUGCGGUGUAGACGGCUUUCUGGACCAUUGCUGACGCUGAGACACGAAAGCGUGGGUAGUAAACAGG